AAGGAAGUGUUUGCAUGUCCAACAGCACACCUAGUCGUAAUUGGUUGAUAUUCAGGGAGUCGGCAUAGCGUAGGGAGGAGACGGGAAGUAGUUCAGAAUCCCUGCCGCUCAGAUUUUGCUCUGGCAUCUCCACUCAUACUCUCUUGGUGUUACCAAGUCGGCCUUGAGACCCCCUUCCCUGGAUUCUUCUGGUUCACCUGCAAACUCUCUGGUUACUUCGUCUGUUCCUCCCAUCUGCUGUGGUGCGCUCCGGAUCCCUCGCCAGCCUGCCAUCUGUCAGCCCUUCUGUCACUACCACCUAUCACCACCUACGAGUUACGGUCACAGGGUUCCCUCGUCAUUAUUCUCCCCGGAUAGGUCAGCCCUGCUAAAUGUCGCUCCAGUACUGACGUUCAGACCUCACCCGAGCCACACGCUGUCUCUCUUCCGCAGCCUGAACCUUUCAACAAAUAUCUUAAAACUGUGCUUGUCUUCCAUCUGUAUCUGCAUGUGGGCUAAACACUUAAAAACCAUGACAGUUCUGUGAAUCUUUUUCAGAUUGACGUGCAUCAAACCAAUAGGAAAUGAUAUCACACUCCUUUUGCCUAAAAUGCACAGCAAUUCUAAACCCUUUAAUUGAUUAUUUAAAUAAUACCUGUUGGUUUUAACGGACAGUGUAUCUACACAACCCUGGUUGUAUUCUAUAUCCCCCUGUUUGAAUGGUUUUGAAACAAACCUUUAAACUGUAAUAUCAUCCUGUGAACAGUAACCCAUUGUCACCCAAACAUCUCCCCCUGUUCAUUUAACCACUCCAUACAGGUCUAGAUCAAAUUUUUAUGAGACUGUUUCAUUCAUCUAACAUUUGUAUCAUUGAUAAUACACACAACACUUUUAACCUCAUGCCAUUCAGUCCUUUAUUAAGUAUCCUGUUCUCAGUUGUCCUGUGUUAAGUCUAACCUUAAAAAAAUAAGCAGACAUUACUCACAGUGAUUUUCUUACAUUUUCAUUUAUCUAUUAUUAUUACUAUUGCAUUUCCUACAGUUCUUUGAAAUUUAGGCUGCAGUGUUUGGAAAUUUCAUCACCAAGUGAUCCAUAAUCAUAUUCUAUGUUAAUAUGAAACCACCAGCUAUCUCCCAGUACCAAACACCUCUAUUCGUUUGAGCUGUCCUAAUUACGGCUGUUCUUCUCCUUCUUUCCCUUCCAGUCCUUGCUGCAGGCAUUACAAUACUGCUAACUGACCGAAAUUUAAACACUACAUUCUUCGACCAGGUGGGCGGAGAAGACCCUAUUCUUUACUAACAUCUCUUUUGAUUCUUUGGUCACCCAGAAGUUUGUAUUCUAAUUUUAUCAGGUUUUGGUAUAAUUUCACAUACUGUAGCAUACUAUUCUGG
Fundulus heteroclitus (mummichog) is the source of this 1370-nucleotide long non-coding RNA. RefSeq lists it as uncharacterized. The transcript has 2 exons. NCBI's taxonomy places the organism in Eukaryota, Metazoa, Chordata, Actinopteri, Cyprinodontiformes, Fundulidae. The record is from RefSeq and is a predicted model, not a curated record.